This 641-nucleotide ribosomal RNA is filed under the name uncultured bacterium. Its description in RNAcentral is "bacterial SSU rRNA". It matches the Rfam family "Bacterial small subunit ribosomal RNA", at positions 202 to 842 of the family's 1533-position model. The record is from RNAcentral.
AAAGGAGAGAUCCGGCAUAGGAUGGACAUGCGUCGCAUUAGGUAGACGGCGGGGUAACGGCCCACCGUGCCGACGAUGCGUAGGGGUUCUGAGAGGAAGGCCCCCCACACUGGUACUGAGACACGGACCAGACUCCUACGGGAGGCAGCAGUGAGGAAUAUUGGUCAAUGGCCGAGAGGCUGAACCAGCCAAGUCGCGUGAGGGAAGAAUGUCCUAAGGAUUGUAAACCUCUUUUGUCGGGGAGCAAAAAGGCUCUGCGGAGUCGUAUUGAGAGUACCCGAAGAAAAAGCAUCGGAUAACUCCGUGCCAGCAGCCGCGGUAAUACGGAGGAUGCGAGCGUUAUCCGGAUUUAUUGGGUUUAAAGGGUGCGCAGGCGGCGUGUCAAGCAAGCGGUAAAAUAGCGGGGCUCAACCCCGUCGAGCCGUUUGAACUGGCGCGCUUGAGUUCAGGCGAGGUAGGCGGAAUUCGUGGUGUAGCGGUGAAAUGCAUAGAUAUCACGAAGAACUCCGAUUGCGAAGGCAGCUUACCAGUCUGCGACUGACGCUCAGGCACGAAAGUGUGGGUAUCGAACAGGAUUAGAUACCCUGGUAGUCCACACAGUAAACGAUGAGCGCUAGGUGUCCGGGUCGCAUGAGACUUGG